RNAcentral lists this long non-coding RNA (744 nucleotides) under Ananas comosus (pineapple). RNAcentral describes it as "long non-coding RNA (ACOM_LNC011018)". The record is from RNAcentral. Lineage: Eukaryota; Viridiplantae; Streptophyta; Magnoliopsida; Poales; Bromeliaceae.
CUCAACCCUAGGGGACCACUAUCAUCCUAACCGCACGUCCUUUCAUCUAAUAGCCGAAAACUCAAUAGUACCAAGGACUUGGUACUAUCGAUAGUAUAGUAGCAUAAUUCAUAUAUAUAUAUAUAUAUAUAUAUAGAGAGAGAGAGAGAGAGAGAGAGAGAGAGAGAGAGAGUAGGGCUACUAUACUCUUAUGAGUAUAGAACCCUUACUACUCAUAAGUUGUUUUCGAUGUUGGAGUUUUCGAAUCGACAAUCCACACCGUUAAACAUGAUCUAGAGUAUUUGAAACCUCUAGAAAAUAAUUUUCAUAAAUUUUCAAAAUCAUUAUAAAGUCCAUCAAGCGAGUAUAAAAUGAAUGGUUAAAAUCGAAUGACAUCCUAAAAAUGGAUGAUCAGAUCCUUCAAUUUAAGAUCGGAGUUAUUAAUGUUUAUUUAGGUAGUGAUCGAGUAGAAUUUUCUAUCAAAAAUUCAACCUAUUUCGAUUCUUUUUCACCGUUAAAAUAGCAAAUAUUUCAUACCGGCCGUUAAAAAUUGUCAAUUUUGUGACCUUUUGAUAGUAAGGUAAAUAAUAUCGAAAAAUUAUAAAAUUUAAUUUCUAGAAGUUUUAAAUGCUCUCGAUAACAUUUAACGGUAUAGAUCGUCGAUUUGGAAGCUCUAUUAUUGAAAAUAACUUAUGAGUACGAGGGCGAUCGUACUCAUAAGAGUAUAGUAGCCGGACUCUAUAUAUAUAUAUAUAUAUAUAUAUA